RNAcentral lists this transfer RNA (73 nucleotides) under Marmota monax (woodchuck). It matches the Rfam family "tRNA". From Rfam's summary of the family: Transfer RNA (tRNA) molecules are approximately 80 nucleotides in length. The record is from Rfam by way of RNAcentral. Lineage: Eukaryota; Metazoa; Chordata; Mammalia; Rodentia; Sciuridae.
GGGGAUAUAGCUAAGUUGGAAGAGUGUUUUCUUAGCAUGCAUAAGGCCCUGGGUUUAAUCCCUAGUACCCCCC